Molecule: ribosomal RNA, 484 nt
Filed under: uncultured bacterium
Lineage: Bacteria
Description: partial 16S ribosomal RNA
Rfam family: Bacterial small subunit ribosomal RNA
Source: RNAcentral
AUUGAACGCUGGCGGCAUGCUUUACACAUGCCAGUCGAACGGCAGCGCGGGCUUCGGCCUGGCUGCGAGUGGCGCACGGGUGAGUAAUACAUCGGAACGUGCCCCGUUGUGGGGGAUAGCAAGGUGAAAGCAGGAUUAAUACCGCAUACGACCUGAGGGUGCAAGCGGGGGAUCUUCGGAACUCGCGCUAUUUGAGCGGUCGAUGGCCGAGUAGCUAGUUGGUGGGGUAAAGGCCUACUAAGGCGAGCAUCUGUAGCUGGUCUGAGAGGACGACCAGCCACACUGGGACUGAGACACGGCCAAGACUCCUACGGGAGGCAGCAGUGUGCAAUUUUGGACAGUGGGCGAAAGCCUGAUCCAGCAAUGCGGCGUGUGAUAUGAAGGCCUUCGGGUUGUAAAGCACUUUUGGCGGGAACGAAAAGCACUGUGCCAAUACCACGCUUCGAUGACGGUACCCGCAGAAUAAGCACCGGCUAACUACGUG